GUAGUCCACGCCGUAAACGAUGGAUGCUAGCUGUUGGGGGCACUCCUCCGGUAGCGUAGCUAACGCGUUAAGCAUCCCGCCUGGGGAGUACGGUCGCAAGAUUAAAACUCAAAGGAAUUGACGGGGACCCGCACAAGCGGUGGAGCAUGUGGUUUAAUUCGAGGCAACGCGAAGAACCUUACCAGGCCUUGACAUGUCCAGUAUGAUCGACAGAGAUGUCUUUCUUCAGUUUGGCUGGCUGGAACACAGGUGCUGCAUGGCUGUCGUCAGCUCGUGUCGUGAGAUGUUGGGUUAAGUCCCGCAACGAGCGCAACCCUCGUCCUUAAUUGCCAUCAUUUAGUUGGGAACUUUAAGGAAACUGCCAGCGUCAAGCUGGA
RNAcentral lists this ribosomal RNA (377 nucleotides) under uncultured bacterium. RNAcentral's name for it is "bacterial SSU rRNA". It matches the Rfam family "Bacterial small subunit ribosomal RNA", at positions 790 to 1167 of the family's 1533-position model. The record is from RNAcentral.